RNAcentral lists this small RNA (2480 nucleotides) under Arabidopsis thaliana (thale cress). Its description in RNAcentral is "ATSL037030". Lineage: Eukaryota; Viridiplantae; Streptophyta; Magnoliopsida; Brassicales; Brassicaceae. The record is from RNAcentral.
AACUGCUUCUAAGCAAGUUUUGUUGGUUUUAGCCUCUUUUAGGAGAAAAUGGGUAUAAGUGGUGUCUAAACACUCCUAAUCCAUCUGUAACUCUUAUAAUUAGUCGAAUGCAUUUGACUGUGAUACCUUUUGAACAUAAAUACACUAACAAGGCUAUUUACUGCGUCUAAGCAAAUGUUUGUUGGUUUAGCCUCUUUUGGGAUAAAAUAGGUACAAGUGUUGUCUAAACACUUCUAAUCCAACUCUAACUCUUAUAAUUAGUCGAAUGCAUUGGAUUGUGAUACAUUUUGACCAUAUAAACACUAACAAAGCUAUUUAGUGCUUCUAAGCAAUAUUUUGUUGGUUAUAGCUUCUUUUGAGAGUAAAUGGGUAUAAGUGUUCUUUAAACACUCCUAAUCCAUCUCUUACUCUUAUAAUUAGUCAAAUGCAUUGGAUUAUGACACAUUUUCUCCAUAGAAACACUAACAAAUCUAUUGACCGCUUCUAAGCAAGUUUUCUUGGUUUUAGCCUCUUUUGGGAGGAAAUGGUUAUAAGUGUUGUCUAAACACUUCUUGUUCAUCCCUAACUCUUAUAAUUAUUCAAUUGCAUUGGAUUGUGACACAUUUUGACUAUAGAAACACUAACAAAUCUAUUGACUGCUUUUGAGCAAGUUUUGUUGGUUUUAGCCUCUUUUGGGAGAAAAUGGGUAUAAGUGUUGUCUAAACACUCCUAAUCCAUCUCUAACUCUAUAAUUAGUCCAAUGCAUUGGAUUGUGAAAUAGUUUGACCAUAGAAACACUAACAAAUCUAUUGACUGCUUUUAAGCAAAAAUUUUUGGUUUUAGCCUCUUUUGGCCGAAAAUGGGUAUAAGUGUUAUCUAAACACUCCUAAUCCAUCUCUAACUUUUACAAUUAGUCGAAUGCAUUGGAUUGUGAUACAUUUUGACCAUAUAAAUACUAACAAAACUAUUUAGUGCUUCUAAGCAAUAUUUUGUUGGUUAUAGCUUCUUUUGGGAGAAGAUGGGUAUAAUUGUUGUCUAAACACUACUAAUCCAUCUCUAACUCUAUAAUUAGUCCAAUGCAUUGGAUUGUGAAACAUUUUGACUAUAGAAACACUAACAGAUCUAUUGACUGCUUUUAAGCAAGUUUUUUUGGUUUUAGCCUCUUUUGGGAUAAAAUGGGUAUAAGUAUUGUCUAAACACUUCUAAUCCAUCUCUAACUCUUAUAAUUAGUCGAAUGCAUUGGAUUGUGAUACAUUUUGACCAUAUAAACACUAACAAAGCUAUUUAGUGCUUCUAAGCAAUAUUUUGUUGGUUAUAGCUUCUUUUGAGAGUAAAUGGGUAUAAGUGUUCUUUAAACACUCCUAAUCCAUCUCUUACUCUUAUAAUUAGUCAAAUGCAUUGGAUUAUGACACAUUUUCACCAUAGAAACAGUAACAAAUCUAUUGACCGCUUCUAAGCAAGUUUUCUUGGUUUUAGCCUCUUUUGGGAGAAAAUGGUUAUAAGUGUUGUCUAAACACUUCUUGUUCAUCCCUAACUCUUAUAAUUAUUCAAUUGCAUUGGAUUGUGACACAUUUUGACUAUAGAAACACUAACAAAUCUAUUGACUGCUUUUGAGAAAGUUUUGUUGGUUUUAGCCUCUUUUGGGAGAAAAUGGGUAUAAGUGUUGUCUAAACACUUCUUAUCCAUCUCUAACUCUUAUAAUUAGUCAAUGGUAUUGGAUUGUGACACAUUAUGACCAUAUAAACACUAACAAAUCUAUUAACUGCUUCUAAGCAAGUUUUGUUGGUUUUAGCCUCUUUUAGGAGAAAAUGGGUAUAAGUGGUGUCUAAACACUCCUAAUCCAUCUCUAACUCUUAUAAUUAUUCGAAUGCAUUUGACUGUGAUACCUUUUGAACAUAAAUACACAAACAAGGCUAUUUACUGCGACUAAGCAAAUGUUUGUUGGUUUAGCCUCUUUUGGGAUAAAAUAGGUACAAGUGUUGUCUAAACACUUCUAAUCCAUCUCUAACUCUUAUAAUUAGUCGAAUGCAUUGGAUUGUGAUACAUUUUGACCAUAUAAACACUAACAAAGCUAUUUAGUGCUUCUAAGCAAUAUUUUGUUGGUUAUAGCUUCUUUUGAGAGUAAAUGGGUAUAAGUGUUCUUUAAACACUCCUAAUCCAUCUCUUACUCUUAUAAUUAGUCAAAUGCAUUGGAUUAUGACACAUUUUCUCCAUAGAAACACUAACAAAUCUAUUGACCGCUUCUAAGCAAGUUUUCUUGGUUUUAGCCUCUUUUGGGAGAAAAUGGUUAUAAGUGUUGUCUAAACACUUCUUGUUCAUCCCUAACUCUUAUAAUUAUUCAAUUGCAUUGGAUUGUGACACAUUUUGACUAUAGAAACACUAACAAAUCUAUUGACUGCUUUUGAGAAAGUUUUGUUGGUUUUAGCCUCUUUUGGGAGAAAAUGGGUAUAAGUGUUGUCUAAACACUUCUUAUCCAUCUCUAACUCUUAUAAUUAGUCAAU